UCUCCGUUGGUGAACCAGCGGAGGGAUCAUUACAGGACUCGCAAGACUCCUUCACCCUGUGAACCUCACUACAAGCACGUUGCUUCGGCGGGUGUCCCGGCGGCGGUUUGCCCUCGCCGGGGCGCACAGCCCGCCGGCAGCCUACUAUACUCUGUCUCUUUGCGUUGGCAUCUCGAGAAAAAACAAACAAGUUAAAACUUUCAACAACGGAUCUCUUGGUUCUG
RNAcentral lists this unclassified non-coding RNA (224 nucleotides) under plant metagenome. RNAcentral describes it as "partial contains small subunit ribosomal RNA, internal transcribed spacer 1, and 5.8S ribosomal RNA". The record is from RNAcentral.